UGCAAGUCGAACGAUGAAAUCCUCUGCUUGCAGAGGAUGGAUUAGUGGCGAACGGGUGAGUAACACGUGGGUAACCUGCCCAUAAGAGGGGGAUAACAUUCGGAAACGGAUGCUAAUACCGCAUAGGUCUUUGAGACGCCUGUCUCUUAGAUGAAAGGUGGCUUCGGCUGCCGCUUAUGGAUGGACCCGCGGCGUAUUAGCUAGUUGGUGAGGUAAUGGCUCACCAAGGCUGUGAUACGUAGCCGACCUGAGAGGGUGAUCGGCCACACUGGGACUGAGACACGGCCCAGACUCCUACGGGAGGCAGCAGUAGGGAAUCUUCCACAAUGGGUGAAAACCUGAUGGAGCAAUACCGCGUGAGUGAAGAAGGUCUUCGGAUCGUAAAGCUCUGUUGUUAGAGAAGAACAAGUCGGGUAGUAACUGCCCCGACCUUGACGGUAUCUAACCAGAAAGUCACGGCUAACUACGUGCCAGCAGCCGCGGUAAUACGUAGGUGACAAGCGUUGUCCGGAUUUAUUGGGCGUAAAGCGAGCGCAGGCGGUCUUUUAAGUCUGAUGUGAAAGCCCACGGCUCAACCGUGGAGGGUCAUUGGAAACUGGAAGACUUGAAUGCAGAAGAGGAAAGUGGAAUUCCAUGUGUAGCGGUGAAAUGCGUAGAUAUAUGGAGGAACACCAGUGGCGAAGGCGACUUUCUGGUCUGUAAUUGACGCUGAGGCUCGAAAGCGUGGGGAGCGAACAGGAUUAGAUACCCUGGUAGUCCACGCCGUAAACGAUGAGUGCUAAGUGUUGGAGGGUUUCCGCCCUUCAGUGCUGGAGCUAACGCAUUAAGCACUCCGCCUGGGGAGUACGGCCGCAAGGCUGAAACUCAAAGGAAUUGACGGGGACCCGCACAAGCGGUGG
Molecule: ribosomal RNA, 899 nt
Filed under: Marinilactibacillus sp. CR-6
Lineage: Bacteria; Bacillati; Bacillota; Bacilli; Lactobacillales; Carnobacteriaceae
Description: bacterial SSU rRNA
Rfam family: Bacterial small subunit ribosomal RNA
Source: RNAcentral